GUGCUAAAUUUAGCAGCACAUAUGCUAAAAUUGGAAUGACACAGAGAAGACUAGCAUGGCCCCUGCACAAGGAUGACAUGCAAAUUCAUGAAGCAUUCCAUAUUUUU
This 107-nucleotide small nuclear RNA is filed under the name Octodon degus (degu). Lineage: Eukaryota; Metazoa; Chordata; Mammalia; Rodentia; Octodontidae. The record is from RNAcentral.